UGAGGAACAUGACCUUCGGCGGGGGAUAGCCGGCCCAACGGCCGGGUAAUACCGCGUACGACCACAUGGGGACAUCCCCGAGUGGUGAAAGCAGCAAUGCGCCGAUGGAGUGCCUCGCGGCCUAUCAGCUAGUUGGUGAGGUAACGGCUCACCAAGGCGACGACGGGUAGCUGGUCUGAGAGGAUGGCCAGCCACAUUGGGACUGAGACACGGCCCAGACCUCCGUAGGGACGG
RNAcentral lists this ribosomal RNA (234 nucleotides) under uncultured bacterium. RNAcentral's name for it is "partial 16S ribosomal RNA". It matches the Rfam family "Bacterial small subunit ribosomal RNA", at positions 118 to 348 of the family's 1533-position model. The record is from RNAcentral.